AGAGUUUGAUCCUGGCUCAGGACGAACGCUGGCGGCAUGCCUAAUACAUGCAAGUCGAGCGAACAGAUGAAGUGCUUGCACUUCUGACGUUAGCGGCGAACGGGUGAGUAACACGUAAGGAAUCUACCUAUAAGCGGGGGAUAACAUUCGGAAACGGGUGCUAAUACCGCAUAAUAUCUUCUUCCGCAUGGAAGAAGAUUGAAAGACGGCUCUGCUGUCACUUAUAGAUGACCUUGCGGUGCAUAGUUAGUUGGUGGGGUAACGGCCUACCAAGACGAUGAUGCAUAGCCGACCUGAGAGGGUGAUCGGCCACAUUGGGACUGAGACACGGCCCAAACUCCUACGGGAGGCAGCAGUAGGGAAUCUUCCGCAAUGGGCGAAAGCCUGACGGAGCAAUGCCGCGUGAGUGAAGAAGGCCUUCGGGUCGUAAAACUCUGUUAUAAGAGAAGAACAAAUUGUAGAGUAACUGCUACAGUCUUGACGGUAUCUUAUCAGAAAGCCACGGCUAACUACGUGCCAGCAGCCGCGGUAAUACGUAGGUGGCAAGCGUUGUCCGGAUUUAUUGGGCGUAAAGGGAGCGCAGGUGGUUUCUUAAGUCUGAUGUGAAAGCCCACGGCUUAACCGUGGAGGGUCAUUGGAAACUGGGAAACUUGAGUACAGAAGAGGAAUGUGGAACUCCAUGUGUAGCGGUGGAAUGCGUAGAUAUGUGGAAGAACACCAGUGGCGAAGGCGACAUUCUGGUCUGUUACUGACACUGAGGCUCG
RNAcentral lists this ribosomal RNA (764 nucleotides) under uncultured bacterium. Its description in RNAcentral is "bacterial SSU rRNA". It matches the Rfam family "Bacterial small subunit ribosomal RNA", at positions 8 to 755 of the family's 1533-position model. The record is from RNAcentral.